UACGUAGGGGGCAAGCGUUGUCCGGAAUUACUGGGCGUAAAGCGUGCGCAGGCGGUUUUGUAAGCCAGAUGUGAAAGCCCCGGGCUCAACCUGGGAAUGGCAUUUGGGACUGCAAGGCUUGAGUGCGGCAGAGGAGACUGGAAUUCCUGGUGUAGCAGUGAAAUGCGUAGAUAUCAGGAGGAAUACCGAUGGCGAAGGCAGGUCUCUGGGCUGACACUGACGCUCAUGCACGAAAGCGUGGGGAGCAAACAGG
This 253-nucleotide ribosomal RNA is filed under the name uncultured bacterium. RNAcentral's name for it is "partial 16S ribosomal RNA". It matches the Rfam family "Bacterial small subunit ribosomal RNA", at positions 524 to 776 of the family's 1533-position model. The record is from RNAcentral.